CCUACGGGAGGCAGCAGUGGGGAAUAUUGCGCAAUGGGGGAAACCCUGACGCAGCAACGCCGCGUGAGUGAGGAAGGACUUCGGUCUGUAAAGCUCUGUUAAUGAGGAAAAAUGGUAGUUGGUCUAAUAGGCCGAUUAUUUGAUGGUACUCAUAGAGGAAGCACCGGCUAACUUCGUGCCAGCAGCCGCGGUAAUACGAAGGGUGCAAGCGUUGUUCGGAUUUAUUGGGCGUAAAGCGCGCGUAGGCGGACCUGCAAGUAAGAUGUGAAAUCUCGAGGCUCAACCUCGAAACUGCGUCUUAAACUACAGGUCUAGAAUCUCGGAGGGGGAAGGGGAAUUUCGCAUGUAGGGGUAAAAUCCGUAGAUAUGCGAAGGAACACCAGAGGCGAAGGCGCCUUCCUGGACGAGUAUUGACGCUGAGGCGCGAAGGCGUGGGGAUCAAAACAGGAUUAGAUACCCUGGUAGUCCACGCUGUAAACGAUGAACACUAGGUAUUGGAGGAUUUGACCCCUUCAGUGCCGUAAGCUAACGCGUUAAAGUGUUCCGCCUGGGAAAGUACGGUCGCAAAGCUAAAAACUAANAGAUAGUACGCUGAGACGNGCGACGACGACGACGAGGAGGAG
This 623-nucleotide ribosomal RNA is filed under the name uncultured bacterium. Its description in RNAcentral is "bacterial SSU rRNA". It matches the Rfam family "Bacterial small subunit ribosomal RNA", at positions 338 to 949 of the family's 1533-position model. The record is from RNAcentral.